CGCGGCCCCGGCGAUUGCGUUCCGGGCCACAGCGGGCCCCGGGGGCACAGCCCGGCACCCGGGGACGCGGGCGCGUCAAGGGCUCAUUGCGGGCCUCGCUGAGGGGCCGUGGAUCCGCGUGUUAGACAUUAGGGAAGGUCACAAAGCCACAGCCUCUUAGAAAUUACAAGAUAUGCUGCAAUGGGUUGAAACUUGUAGGAAAGCAAUUAAUGACCAGGAGAUCUGAUGAAGACAACUUGUACCUGAUGAGGAGCCACAGAUGGGUUGUCUUGCAGGAAGGUCAACCCACAGGUCAAGGGAGGUGAUUCUCCCCCUCCACUUCACUCUUGUAAGACCCCACCUGGCAUUCUGCAUCCAGCUCUGGGACCCCAGCAUAAGAGGGACAUCGAUGUGUUGAAGAGAGUCCAGAGGAGGCCCUAAAGAUGCUCUGAGGGCCAGAGAACCUCUCCUAUGAAGACAGGCCAAAGAUUUGGGGCUGUCCAGCCUGGGGAAGAGAAGGCUCCAGAGUGAUAUUCCAUAAUCUAAAGCGGGGCUACAGAAAACUGGAGAGGGACUGUUUACAAGGCCAUGAAGAGAUAGGAUGAGAGGGAAUGCCUUAAACUGAAAGAGGAUAGAUUUAGGUUAGAUAUUAGGAAGAAAUUCUUCACUGUGAGGAUGGUGAGACACUGCAACAGGUCCCCCAGAGAAGCAGUGGAUUCUUCAACCCUGGAAGUGUUCAAGGCCAGACUGGGAAGGGCUCUGAGCAACCUGUUCUUGCUGAAGGUAUCCCUGCCUAUGGCAAGGGGAUUGGAACCCCCAUUCCUGAAGCCAUGGCAAUUGUCCCCUUGUUACAAAGACUAUUGGGUAGGUUUGAACUAGACAGAAGGAAAACUCUUUUCCAGAGCUGGGACAGGCAUCUGUGAGGAAGGAGUCUGUCCAUGGAGGUUUCUAGAUCAUCUAGAGAAGAUGAUGGGUGACUUGCUUUACUGUUUUAAGCAGCAUUGUGGAGUAGACACACACACACACACUCUGCAACUAACCCAGCUUUUCAUGAGACACUAAUUUUGCAAAAUCACAGAGUUUAGGGAAUGUCUAUAGGAAAUCCCACAUCAGUCCAAACAAGGGUUUUUUUAAGCAAGUCCAGAAACUAAAGUUUGAUGCUCAUAACCCCAAAUCACCAGGUCAACUCACAGAAGCAGACAACCUUAGAUGGUUUUUCAACCAGCGUAUCUGACUUCAGAGGAGACAAGACAAGAAGGUGCCACAAACUGGCAAAUGGGUCUUGGUUUAGAGAUAUCUCACAACCCUUUCUCAAGGAAGAAGUGAUAGUCAACAUGAGAGACCAUCUCUCCAGUGUCCCUUGGCUCUACAUCCCCACUCAAACUUCGGUCACCCCUGCAGCAUCAGAAUUUCUUAACCAAAAUAAUCGGUUUGUCAUUUUCAAAGCAGAUGGCGUUUCCCUUGCAACAGGACCUGAUUUCUUUACAUCAAAGAUCAGACAAUCAAAGUUGUGCUUGGACAACUCUUACAGAACACAGGAGCCAUACUCAGGGCUUGUCCAUGUGCAAAGGUUGGACUAUUUCUCUACUGAACAGACAAAUCAAAGCCAUGCUGAAAGGCUCUGUGCAGAGUCAAAUACAAACUCUGAAAGGAUGUGAAAUCGGUACCUAUGUGUGGGAAGAGAAAAGACAUCAUCUUAAUUCACUUCUUAAUCUUCUAUAAUAUUUUGUUCCCUUUCUGUUUUCGCCCCCUCUUCCAUUUCAGCAGUCUUAAACAUCAUUUACACUCUGAAUGUUAUUUGUCUGACCUCAUGCAAGGUGAAAUUCCUGCUGAACUCUUCAUGCUAAGAAAAUACUCUUGAGCCUAAUGCUGAAAGUUGCUGAACAUCUUUCCAAUGCUGCAAAGCCUCAGCUUUCAUUUACCUCAAGAUAAGUGGCUGACACACUGCACAUCGUAGGAUGUGCUCCUGCUGGGUCUGAGCAAAGAAGAGCUCAGAAUUCAGCUAACCAUCCAUGGUGCAAACUGUUGCCACAGGAUUUAUUGGAUGACCUGCCUGCACAUGCAUUUUUUAGAAGACUUUGGCACAGAUACAUUUAGAGCAACAAUGCUCUAAAC
Prinia subflava (tawny-flanked prinia) is the source of this 2094-nucleotide long non-coding RNA. RefSeq lists it as uncharacterized. The record is from RefSeq and is a predicted model, not a curated record. The transcript is spliced from 3 exons. Lineage: Eukaryota; Metazoa; Chordata; Aves; Passeriformes; Cisticolidae.